Molecule: ribosomal RNA, 253 nt
Filed under: uncultured bacterium
Lineage: Bacteria
Description: partial 16S ribosomal RNA
Rfam family: Bacterial small subunit ribosomal RNA
Source: RNAcentral
UACGUAGGCAGCGAGCGUUGUUCGGAAUUACUGGGCGUAAAGAGUGUGUAGGCGGUGCUCUAAGUUCGGUGUGAAAUCUCCUGGCUUAACUGGGAGGGUGCGCGGAAGACUGGAGGGCUGGAGUAUGGGAGAGGAAAGCGGAAUUCCUGGUGUAGCGGUGAAAUGCGUAGAUAUCAGGAGGAACACCUGCGGUGUAGACAGCUUUCUGGACCAUCACUGACGCUGAGACACGAAAGCGUGGGUAGCAAACAGG